Molecule: ribosomal RNA, 250 nt
Filed under: uncultured bacterium
Lineage: Bacteria
Description: partial 16S ribosomal RNA
Rfam family: Bacterial small subunit ribosomal RNA
Source: RNAcentral
UACGUAGGUGGCAAGCGUUAUCCGGAAUUACUGGGCGUAAAGCGCACGCAGGCGGCCUUUUAAGUUUGACGUGAAAGCUCCUGGCUUAACCGGGAGAGGUCGUUGAAGACUGGAAGGCUUGAGACGAUGAGAGGGGUGCAGAAUUCCCGGUGUAGUGGUGGAAUGCGUAGAUAUCGGGAGGAAUACCAGUGGCGAAGGCGGCACCCUGGCAUCGGUCUGACGCUCAUGUGCGAAGGCGUGGGGAGCGAAC